RNAcentral lists this long non-coding RNA (14552 nucleotides) under Volvox carteri. RNAcentral describes it as "long non-coding RNA (VCAR_LNC002433)". The record is from RNAcentral. Lineage: Eukaryota; Viridiplantae; Chlorophyta; Chlorophyceae; Chlamydomonadales; Volvocaceae.
GCACCUCUGCAUACCACAUCAUGGCGUCACAGACGAAGUCACCGAUGGGGGCCUGGCCCAGACGGAUAACGUUCUUGUCGGAAACCAGGGUGUGCGACAGAGUGCCCAGUGCGCAGGAGGCGGUGGAGGUGGGCGCCGCGGAGCAGAUGCCGCUGCUGCCGCCCAGGUCGCAGCGGUUGAUGCGGCCCUCGGCAGCAGCGUAGCCGGUGACCUGCAGGGACAGGAAGGAAGAGACAGGCAUGAGGUGCAGUUCGCACGAGCAGGGACUAAUAACAGGGAGCGCAAUGGGAAAGCGAGGGUCGUGUUGUACCACGUCUUAUCGCAGGAAAAGAACCGAUCGGCGGAUGACAGGGAGAUGAAGGCAAAAAUAGCAGGGCCGCUGGUGAAGCUAUACCACCCUGUAACAAUAUCAUAUAUACAUAAUGAUGUGUGAAACAGGGGGGUGUAUCUUCGCCCGUGACAGCUACCCUGCGAACCCUGCCUUCCCCGGUAUUUCGGGGCACCCUCAUCCAGUUACCCUAGUCAACUUCUCAGUGGAUCGCUCAGGUUCCGCACCAAACACCAGCAUCCAACGGAAUCUGCCGGGUCGACAGCGGGCCCAACUCCAUUCCUGGUUGGCUCGCAGGUUAACUUUAUCCCAGGUCACAACCAUCCAUCAGGGGCGCAAUACCUUCCACUAUCGGACAAAUUUUUGACCCUUACGGGUAUCGAUCCCGGGAUCUCCCGGGGGCAAUGGUUGCGCGUUACCAAUAGUGCCAAACCCUAGCAUAUACAUGAUGUAUACACACCUGCCUCUCCCUGAUCUAUAUAAUAAGCCUCACCACCCGGCCCGCCAUUAGACGCCACCGUUGAUCCGGCAAAGUCCACGGGAUAAUGCUGGUGGUGGGUGCUGAACCCCCAAACAUUCACUGACUUCGCAGAAGUCGCCACACAUGCGUGAUGAUGAGGAGGAUGAGGGUGGUGCCCCGAAACAUCGGGGAAGGUGCUUGGGGGACUGCCGGGCUAAUGGCCACGGGUGAAGUUGUUAUACCCCCCACUACUUCACACAAUCAGUGAUCGUGGUUUUUAGAAACUUACAGGCGAAUUGGACAGGAACUCUACCACGGCAUCCACGACGGCAGGUCCUUCGGCCAAGACCGUCUCGGCGGCCGCAAGGACCGCGUAGCCAUCACCACCUAGUCAGAUGGGCAUGGGGGGACCCGGCGGGGAAGGGCGGAAUGUGAGCUGCAUGAGGGAGGAUGCAUAUAACUGGUUCGAAAUGCGAAGAUGCGGUGCAACAUCACUGGCAGCGCAACGGCCCAGGGGAAAGCAACGAAAGAGAACCUCAUCGCGGGAACCUAUUCAUCCUUUUCAUUGCCAGCAGGGUUUAACACCCAACUGUUAUGUACCGUGCACUGUGGUCAUAUAUGUAUGUGUGUAGAAUCCUGGGCAUAUCAUGGGAUCUGCAUCCGCCGAUCGGUAUUUUCUGAAGCCGUGAUAUAACAAUAUGCACGUUUUUGCCAAGCUUCUCAAUGCGUUUCAUUUCCUAAUGAGAACAACCAUGCCUGUAUGUCUGUAAUGAGGCAUUUCCGUAUAAGCUUCCGCAUCUGUACACUUACCCGCUGCCAUAUAAUCGUUGGUCACCAAUGCAUACUUGGCGCAAGGAUCGAUGGGCGAGUACGAACCGUCAGCGUUCUUGACCUCGAUCGCCGACACGCGCUGGUUGACCGGCUUGGUUGCGUCGUACGCAAAACGGAAGCCGCCCACCUGUCGAAUAAGGUGCCACGGCGCACGCGGUGGCCAACAAGUUUUGCUUAAGACCAGUGAGCUUCAAUACGUACUGCUACGUAAUUUUUAUUCCACGAAGAUUCCUGUCCUUGCUGGAGGACAUCGUUACAGACUUCAGCUUUGGCCUUUAGUGCCGAGUUGGAAGCUACAUCCCCCAUCACACACCAGUCAAAGGCCCAGGGGUGUGGCUGCUACUGCUGACGCUGGUGAUAAUGCUGCCGCUGGCGGUACUGCUGACGCCGUUGGUAUUUUGCUGCUGCUACUGCUGUUCUUACUGGUGCUACAGCUACAGUUACAGUUACAGUUACUCCUACUGCUAGUGAUACUGCUAUUGUCACCGUUACUGUUAGUGUUGCUGCUGUUGCUGCCAACUGGCAACCCCACCUGUGCAAAUUGCCCGAGUGCCUCGCCCCCGGCAAUGUUGCCCGCCACGCUGUUCUCGAGAGCUGACUUGAGGCCCGUGACGGAAAUGCUCUUGACCACAAGGGUAUUGCCGAACGGCAGAGCGGCCGCGAUUUGACCUGCGGCAUAGGCAUUUUGCAGGGCGUUACGGUUUGACACUGUGCUUACAAAGUGCAUAGCGAUAUUGAUACUGCAUAUGUGUUAAGUGUGCUUGUUAUGUUUGUAUGUGUCAAUACGUGUACAUAUAAUAAUGCUUCCACAAAUAAUGACAAUAAUAGUAAUUGUAAUAAAUAAUAAUUAAUAUGACAGUUAUAAAUCUAAAAUACAUGUAAAAUACAACUUGAGGUGCGUUCAAAAAUGUAACAAGUGUGAGCCCGUGCGAGCCCAGCCAAGGGCCCAAGGGUCAGACAGAAGGCAGAUCGAGGUAACAAGAUUACAAACCGCACAUAAGGUAAUUAUUGGUCUGCUAAAGAAGGAAAGGGUGGGUUUAAAGCCAUAGCAGUGUGCAGUACGAGUGCAGUUAGAAGAUCGAGCGAAGAAGAUGGGCAGAGAAAAGAGAUGGAAUAACCAAGAUGUUAGGAACAUGAAACACCAUUCCACAAAUUUGAAGAAUGAACAGACGCCCCCUACGGAACGGGACACGUAGCCUUUUCCUUAGAGACGCUGUCUUUAAUGAAGACUGUGCCUCUUGUUUUGUUCAACAAUUUGUAGGACUAUGAAUUAUCGACCUACAAACGGUAGGGACAUGGUAGCUGGGAUGCAGUGCACAUACAUACAGCCCGCGCAAUGAGUACGGUGUUGUACAUUCAGCAUACCUCCGGUCACCAGUCCAGCAGGGAUGUCCGCGCGAAUCGAACCAGAGUUCACCAUGCACAAAUUCGGCCUCGCGCCUGUAGUCAUCUGUUCAUACACGCCACCGUGAGGAGGGAAGAUGGGGGCAAGGAGUAUGCGGGUGGGCUUCCGUUGGCCAAAACACACGAUUAUUUACGACAACACGUGUUCCCGUACACGUACUGCUGCACGCUGUACAAAACUAGAUUGCAGAACCACAGACACACACAGAGGAUAGCAUCACCCGAGUUGGUCCUGCAGGCCGUCUGGAUGCCCGAUGCGGGUUUUAGUACAUGCGGAUUUCGGAGCUGAUUUCACUUUUCCACAGGGCCCCCGGGGGUCCCGUCCUCCAUUACCACACGUGAACCUUCGCGCACCUCCGCAUACCACAUCAUGGCGUCACAGACGAAGUCACCGAUGGGGGCCUCGCCCAGGCGAACAGUGGCCUUGUCGGAAACCAGGGUGUGCGACAGAGUGCCCAGUGCGCAGGAGGCGGUGGAGGUGGGCGCCGCGGAGCAGAUGCCGCUGCUGCCGCCCAGGUCGCAGCGGUUGAUGCGGCCCUCGGCAGCAGCGUAGCCAGUGACCUGCAGGGACAGGAAGGAAGAGGCGUGAGGGCCAUCGGGCAUGAGGAAGACAUGUGUGAGAAGAGCUAAACAUUAGAGGGGAAGAAAAGAUGGGAGAAGGGAGGAACGUGUGCUACGAACGAAAGCAUGUGUGAUGGAGGUGGUCGGAGGCGGCUUAAGGAUAUGCCAGGAAUAGAGAUGAUAAUCGCGAGAUCAUACGAUCAAAUCUUGCUUGAAACAAGACAAAUCAGGGAUAUCAGCGUUAUAAUCCUAUGCGCUGUCCAGGGAUCAAGUAGUAUGAUCAGCCCGAGAUAAGUUCUCAAUGUUGCCUUCGACAUCUGUCUGCGGAUUGAAACGUUCUCCCUCCAAACACAAGCCAUUGAACCAUUUCAAGGUGGAUUACAUGGCGCCGGCGUGAACUUUGCUACGUUAUGCACCACCCUCGUAGUGCGUGAUCCCCAUCACCAGCAGGGGUGAAAUACAAAUGAGAUUAUUCAGUAGGAACAAUAAUGCAGUUGCACUGACCAAAGCUUGGCGUGGGUUAAGGCCGGGGCUCGGGAAUUGAGGGGUAUUUCUGCCCCUAUAUGCCCCUGGGCAACAUCCACUAGGAUAACGCACUUUAAACAAGCACACAAGCACACAUGCAUACACACUAACUUGCGAGCUGACCAGGAACUAAGUUGAGGCGCCGUUGAUCCGCUAGAUUUGGUUGGAUGCUGGUGGUGAGUUGGGAACCCAACGAAUACACUCUGAAUUUGGAUGGGGUGAAUGGAUUAGGGUGCCCCUCUCGCAGGGGAGAGCAGGGAACUGCCUCGGGAAAGGGGGCCGCUGGUGAAGCUUAACCACCCUGUAACAACAUACACAUCCUGCACGCCUCUUGUCCUUCUCCCUCCAUCCCCUACUCGGCCGCAUGCUCGGGUCACACUGAUUUACCAGGCUGGCGCAAAAUCAAUCAGCAAGUAAGGGUUGUAUUCAUAAUAAAAAAAACUCACGGGUGACGUGUACGACAGGAAUUCCUCCACAGCCUCCACAGCAAAAAGCCCCGUCUCCGCUACCGUCUGCGCCGCCCUGAUGGUUAGGUAGCCAUCGCCGCCUGACCAGAGGGAGUGGGGAGGGCCGGGGAAGGGCGGAGAGGGAUAGGAAAGGUAUGGAAUGUAAGGGUGUAUUGGUAGGCCAACAUCAACCCGCAUGGCAUUACAGACCCUAGCACAAGAUCGUGCUAUGCUAGCACAAGAUAGUGCUAUGCUAGCACAAGAUAGUGCUAUGCUAGCACAAGAUAGGGCUAUGCUAGCACAAGAUAGGGCUAUGCUAGCACACGAUACUGUGCUAGGGGGCUCAACAACUCGGCAUCAGGCCCCAAAGCAGCAGCAGUAGCUGCAGCAGCUGCGAAUCCAGUAUGACCCACAGCAGUUUGAAAGUCAGCGGAGGAGGUCAACAGAAGGACAACUUAGGCAGAUGGUGGUUUCUCGCUUUCAAAGAAAGGUCGUAGUGACAGCAGUGUAACAACCAACACGCUGGGCGACGCUGCCAUCACCUGUGUCAACGGGUAUCCUAAUAUUAGGGCAACCACCGCAUCUAGGCCGUACAGCUGUACGGAGCCCGUUGCAAAAGGCCGUGGGAUUCACAGUGUUACCCUAAUAUGUACGGCAGCUGAUGGGUAGCGACGCUACCAUGGUGUGUGUGUAUAUAACAUCACUAGCAGGCACGUGAUGUGUUCUUUUGUCGCCGUCAUACUGCUUGUGUGCCGCCGAUGAUGUUUAUGUGGCCCCCCAACCCCCAUGCUCUUUGUGCCGUUCAAGCCGUACACUUACCCGCCGCCAUAUAAUCGUUGGUCACCAAGGCAUACUUGGCGCAAGGAUCGAUGGGCGAGUACGAACCGUCCGCGUUCGCAACCUCGAUCGCCGACACGCGCUGGUUGCGCGGCUUGGUGGCGUCGUACGCAAAACGGAAGCCGCCCACCUGUCGAAUGAUGUGAAAGCAUGUAGUUACAUUAAAAAACACAGGAAGCUGAGGAAAGCCUUUGUGCACGACCCGGGUGUUUUUUGAGCCUGCUAUUAAGACUACUGCUACCAUCAGCCGUUUCAUUUAUCAAACAGUCGUGCACGCAUAAACGCCGGUACGGCAGACGGCGUCAGGGCAAGAGCUUUGCCCGAGCUUUUUGAGGGAGAACCCGUAGUCUCGUUGAGCUGAUAAUGUCUGUUCCGUCAUUUUCUUCUUAAACUGUAUUUAACUUAAGCAGUGCCGUACAUAUUUCACCACCGGUUUCUUCACGCGGCCCUAAGGUUGGGCACCGGUACCGAUCAGCGGCCCGCCUGGUGUCGCGGUCUUAAAGGAACACCCCAUCGCAGGACGGAUGCGGUUAAUAGUGCCAACUGCCUACUGCCAACUGCCAACUGCCAACUGCCAAAUCGCAGUACGGAAAUGUACAAGUACCAUAGCCUAGUGUCGCCGUCAUGUACCUCGUACACGGCCACCUCACCUGUGCAAACUGCCCGAGGGCCUCGCCCCCGGCAAUGUUGCCCUCAACGCUGUUCUCGAGAGCCGAUUUGAGGCCCGUGACGGAAAUGCUCUUGACCACAAGGGUAUUGCCGUACGGCAGGGCGGCAGCGAUUUGGCCUGCGGUUAGGUGUUUUUAUGUUAUUUUGCACAACACCGUUUUAUUUUAAGUAAUGCAACACUGACACUGUUUUCUGUGUGUGCUGCUAGUUCGGACCGUGUGUUGCAUGAACUGCAUGGGAAUUGUGUCUGUAUUGCGUGACCUUGUCUCCGAUAUGUAAGUGGAGACGGUGGGUGCAUGGUAGCUGCGAUGCAGUGUACAUAUUUAGAACAUGCCUACUGUGUACGACGUCGUACAUUCAGCAUACCUCCGGUCACCAGUCCAGCAGGGAUGUCCGCGCGAAUUGAACCAGAGUUCACCAUGCACAACUUCGGCCGCACGCCUGUAGUCAUCUGUUCAUAGACGCCACAGUUACAGGAAAAGGAGGGAACAGGGGGGCCAAGAGAUAUGCGGGUGGGUUUCCGUUGGCCAAAACACACACACACGAUCAUUUACGACAACUUACAUAUGUUCCCGUGAACAAAAUGCCGCACACUGUACAAAACUCGAUUGCAGAACCACAGACACACAUAGAGGAUAGCAUCAGCCGAGUUGGUCCUGCAGGCCGUCUGGAUGCCCGAUGCGGGUUUUAGAACAUGCGGAUUCGGAGCUGAUUUCACGUUUUUCACAGGGCCCCAGGGGUCCCGUCCUCCAUUACCACACGUGAACCUUCGCGCACCUCGGCAUACCACAUCAUGGCGUCACAGACGAAGUCACCGAUGGGGGCCUCGCCCAGGCGAACAGUGGCCUUGUCGGAAACCAGGGUGUGCGACAGAGUGCCCAGUGCGCAGGAGGCGGUGGAGGUGGGCGCCGCGGAGCAGAUGCCGCUGCUGCCGCCCAGGUCGCAGCGGUUGAUGCGGCCCUCGGCAGCAGCGUAGCCGGUGACCUGCAGGGACAGGAAGAGGGAGCCGUGAGGGCCAUCGGGCAUGAGAAAGACGCGUGUGUGUGCACUGCGGCUCCAACCGCCCCACAUACAACGUAAUCACUAGUCACGCCAUACGUGCUUUAGACGCUAUAAAUGUUUAGACGCUAUACCUAUCUACCAUACAGGAUAUGCUCGGUACGCGACUUAUCGUACACGCGGCAUAUGCUACAUAUCCUACAUAUGCUACAUAUGCUACACAAGGGUUAUAGCGUAUAAGCGACCUAUGAGACACCAGAGGCACACUCGGUAGCAACAGCGGUAAAAGUACACGUUCCAAAGCCUGGCGUGAAUGGGGGCGCGGGGACCUGCUGAGGGGCGAAUGGGUCCCCGCGUAUCCCUUGGUACCACCUACGGGGGAUUCAACGCGCACAUACACACACACAGACAGACACACAGACACACAGACACACACACACACAGCCACGCACACACACAGACACACACACACAGACACACAGACACACACACACAGCCACGCACACACACACACAGACAGACACACAGACACACACACACACAGACACACACACACAGACACACACAGACACACACACAGACACACACACAGACACACACACAGACACACACACACACACACACACACACACAGACACACACACAUAUAUGCGUCCGCAUCCCUUCUCACUGCUAGGUUACAUGUCAGGGUCGGGCUGCUUUAAAAGGCUGCACACAAAACCAGUCGGCAAGUAGUGGUGGUUACUGUGCGCAUGGAGUACUCACAGGUGAACUGUACGACAGGAACUCCUCCACAGCAUCCACAACAAAGAGCCCCGUCACCGCUGCCGUCUGCGCUGCCCUGAUGGUCAGGUAGCCAUCGCCGCCUGACCAGAGGGAGUGGGGAGGGCCGGGGAAGGGCGGAGAGGUAGGUUAAGGGUGGGAUGUAAGGGUGUAUUGGUAGGCCAACAUCACCCCCAUUUCAGGACAGACCCUAGCACAGGACAGUGCUACGUGUACUGUGCUAGGGGACUCAACAACUCGGUAUCCGGGCCCCAAAGCAGCAGCAGUAGCUGCAGCAGCUGCGAAUCCAGAUUGACCCACACCAAAAGUUUGGAAAACAGCAAAGGAGUUCAACAGGGGAAGAAGUAACGCAGAUGAUGGUUUUCCUCAAUGGCAAAGUAAGGUCGUUGAGGCAAAAGUGUAACGAACCAACACGCUGGGCGACGCUGCCAGCAUCCGUGUCAACGGGUACCCUAAUAUUAGGGCAACCACCGCAUCUAGGCCGUACAGCUGUACGGAGCCCGUUGCAAAAGGCUGUUGGAUUCACAGCGUUACCCUAAUAUGUACGGCACCUGAUGGGUAGCGACGCUACCAUGCUACAGUACUAUAUAUUACAGAAAGGUGUGUAUGUAUUUGUGUGUAUGUGUGUAUGUGUGUAAAACAUCACUAGCAGGCACGUGAUGGUGUUCCAUUGUCGCACUCACAUUGCUUGUGCGCCGCCGUUAAUGUUUGUGUGGGGGCCCCUACCCCCUAUGUUCUUUGUGCCGUUCUAGCGAUAUCCUCCGGACACCUGAGCAGCACAGCCCCCCAUCCGUCAAGUCACACACUUACCCGCCGCCAUAUAAUCGUUGGUCACCAAUGCGUACUGGGCGCAAGGAUCGACGGGCGAGUACGAACCGUCCCCGUUCGCAACCUCAAUGGCCGACACGCGCUGGUUGACCGGCUUGGUGGCGUCGUACGCAAAACGGAAGCCGCCCACCUGUCGAAUAAAGUGAAAGGAUGCAGUUACAUUAACAAACACAGCAAGCUGAAGGAAGCCAUUGUGGACGAGCCUCCGUACUUGUUUCCGUACGCCAUGUCAAGAGCUAGGGUGUUUGGACCUGCUAUUAAGACUUCUACCGUCGGCCCGUUCACACAUCAAGCAGUCGUACACGCAUUAACGCCGGUACGGCAGAUGGCCCUCGGGCCUUAACCCUUGCCGAGCCCUGUGGAAUAAAAUCCGUAGUCUCGUUCAGCUGAUCUUGUCUGUUCCCACCGUUUUCCUUCCUAAAGUGCAUAUCAUCUUACACAGUGCCGUACAUAUUUCCCCUCCGGUUUCUUCACUCAGCCUCUAAGCUGCCGUAAGGCUGGACACCGGUACCGAUCAGCGGCCCGGAUGGUGUUGCGGUCUUGAAGGAACACCCCAUCGCAGGACGGAUGCGGUUAAUAGUGCCAACUGCCUACUGCCAACUGCCAACCGCCAACUGCCAAAUUGCAGUACGGAAAUGUAUUUGCAUGGCCUAUUGUCACCAUCAUGUACCCCGUACACGGUAUCACCUCACCUGUGCAAACUGCCCGAUCGCCUCGCCCCCGGCAAUGUUGCCCUCAACGCUGUUCUCGAGAGCCGAUUUGAGGCCCCUGACGGAAAUGCUCUUGAUCACCAGGGUGUUGCCGUACGGCAGGGCGGCCGCGAUUUGGCCUGCGGUGUUGGUGUUCCCAUGUGUCAUUUUUUGUUCAACACCGUUUAUUAAAAACUUAUUAAACUAAGUAAUCAAUUAUUGACACUGUUUUCUGUGUGAGCUGCUAGUUCGGACCGUAUGUUGCAUGAACUGCAUUGGAAUCGUUGUUGAUGGGGUUGUGUUACACUGUGGGCGGCUCGUCCCGAUAAAGGACGAGCACGGGGGGCCUGACCGGGGACCGAAACACAGUGCAGGGUUGUAGGCUGUUACAGAGUGGGAGGCUUCUGAGCCACUUGAACACAAAGGAAUUGUGCCUGCAUUGCGUGACCCUGUCUACGAUAUGUAUGUACCGUCUCCGCAUACACAUCGGAAACGGUAAGUGCCCGGGUAGUUGCGAUGCAGCGGACACAUACAUUGAACAUGCCUACUGUGUACGACGCCGUACAUUCAGCAUACCUCCGGUCACCAGUCCAGCAGGGAUGUCUGCGCGAAUCGAACCAGAGUUCACCAUGCACAAAUCCGGCCUCACGCCUGUCGUCAUCUGUUCAUAUACGCCACCAUUUUAAGAAAAAGGAGGGAAGAGGGGUGCAAGGAGUAUAAGGGUGGGAGUCCCUUUGGGACAAGGCUUGGGAACAAUGGACGGCACGCAGCAGGACGGCACUGGCCCCAGCAUGGCGUAUUAUUCGCAUGCAGGUACGGCAGCACAGAUCCAUUUUCUGCGAUUUACAGAUGAUGCAUGCGUUUGUUUAUACAGAGCGUGUACGCCAUCCAAGAACCGCUUGCAGAUAGCAUCAGUCGAGUUGGUCAAAUAAGCUGGUCUUGCAGACACGCGUCUAGAUGCCCCGUGUCAGCGUGGGUGGGUUUUAGAACAUGCGGAUUUGGAGCUGAUUUCACGUUUGUUACAGGGCCCCGGGGGUCCCGUCCCCCACUACUACAUGUGAACCUUCGCGCACCUCGGCAUACCACAUCAUGGCGUCACAGACGAAGUCACCGAUGGGGGCCUCGCCCAGGCGAACAGUGGCCUUGUCGGAAACCAGGGUGUGCGACAGAGUGCCCAGUGCGCAGGAGGCGGUGGAGACGGGCUCCGCGGAGCAGAUGCCGCUGCUGCCGCCCAGGUCGCAGCGGUUGAUGCGGCCCUCGGCAGCAGCGUAGCCGGUGACCUGCAGGGACAGGAAGAGAGAGCCGUGAGGACCAUCGGGCAUGAGAAAGACGCGUGUGUGUGCACUGCGGCUCCAACCGCCCCACAUACAACGUAAUCACUAGUCACGCCAUACGUGCUUUAGACACUAUAAAUGUUUAGACGCUAUAUCUAUCUACCAUACAGGAUAUGCUCGGUACGCAACUUAUCGUACACGCGGCAUAUGCUACAUAUGCUACACAAGGGUUAGCGUAUAAACGACCUAUGAGACACCAGAGCCACACUCGGUAGCAACAACGGUAAAAGUACACGUUCCAAAGCCUGGCAUGAAUGGGGGCGCGGGGACCUGCUGAGGGGCGAAUGGGUCCCUGCGUAUCCCUUGGUACCACCUGCGGGGGAUUCAACGCGCACAUACACACACACACACACACACACACAGACACACGCACACACAGACACGCACACACACAGACACACACACACAGACACACAGACACACACACACAGCCACGCACACACACACACAGACAGACACACAGACACACACACACACAGACACACACACACAGACACACACAGACACACACACAGACACACACACAGACACACACACAGACACACACACACACACACACACACACACAGACACACACACAUAUAUGCGUCCGCAUCCCUUCUCACUGCUAGGUUACAUGUCAGGGUCGGGCUGCUUUAAAAGGCUGCACACAAAACCAGUCGGCAAGUAGUGGUGGUUACUGUGCGCAUGGAGUACUCACAGGUGAACUGUACGACAGGAACUCCUCCACAGCAUCCACAACAAAGAGCCCCGUCACCGCUGCCGUCUGCGCUGCCCUGAUGGUCAGGUAGCCAUCGCCGCCUGACCAGAGGGAGUGGGGAGGGCCGGGGAAGGGCGGAGAGGUAGGUUAAGGGUGGGAUGUAAGGGUGUAUUGGUAGGCCAACAUCACCCCCAUUUCAGGACAGACCCUAGCACAGGACAGUGCUACGUGUACUGUGCUAGGGGACUCAACAACUCGGUAUCCGGGCCCCAAAGCAGCAGCAGUAGCUGCAGCAGCUGCGAAUCCAGAUUGACCCACACCAAAAGUUUGGAAAACAGCAAAGGAGUUCAACAGGGGAAGAAGUAACGCAGAUGAUGGUUUUCCUCAAUGGCAAAGUAAGGUCGUUGAGGCAAAAGUGUAACGAACCAACACGCUGGGCGACGCUGCCAGCAUCCGUGUCAACGGGUACCCUAAUAUUAGGGCAACCACCGCAUCUAGGCCGUACAGCUGUACGGAGCCCGUUGCAAAAGGCUGUUGGAUUCACAGCGUUACCCUAAUAUGUACGGCACCUGAUGGGUAGCGACGCUACCAUGCUACAGUACUAUAUAUUACAGAAAGGUGUGUAUGUAUUUGUGUGUAUGUGUGUAUGUGUGUAAAACAUCACUAGCAGGCACGUGAUGGUGUUCCAUUGUCGCACUCACAUUGCUUGUGCGCCGCCGUUAAUGUUUGUGUGGGGGCCCCUACCCCCUAUGUUCUUUGUGCCGUUCUAGCGAUAUCCUCCGGACACCAGAGCAGCACAGCCCCCCAUCCGUCAAGUCACACACUUACCCGCCGCCAUAUAAUCGUUGGUCACCAAUGCGUACUGGGCGCAAGGAUCGACGGGCGAGUACGAACCGUCCCCGUUCGCAACCUCAAUGGCCGACACGCGCUGGUUGACCGGCUUGGUGGCGUCGUACGCAAAACGGAAGCCGCCCACCUGUCGAAUAACGUGAAAGCAUGCAGUUUCAUCAACAAACACAGCAAGUUGAAGGAAGCCUUUGUGGACGAGCCUCCUUACUUGUUUCCGUACGCCAUGUCAAAAGCUAGGGUGUUUGGACCUGCUAUUAAAACUUCUACCGUCGGCCCGUUCACACAUCAAGCAGUAGUACACGCAUUAACGCCGGUACGGCAGAUGGCCCUCGGGCCUUAACCCUUGCCGAGCCCUGUGGAAUAAAAUCCGCAGUCUCGUUCAGCUGAUCUUGUCUGUUCCCACCGUUUUCCUUCCUAAAGUGCAUAUCAUCUUAAACAGUGCCGUACAUAUUUCGCCUCCGGUUUCUUCACUCAGCCUCUAAGCUGCCGUAAGGCUGGACACCGGUAGCGAUCAGCGGCCCGACUGGUGUUGCGGUCUUGAGGGAACACCCCAUCGCAGGACGGAUGCGGUUAAUAUGCCAACUGCCAACUGUCAACUGCCAGCUGCCAACUGCCAAAUUGCCAAUGGUUCACAACUUGGAUCCCGUUGCAGUUCGGCGGUGCAGAAGUAGCUACUAGGCACCAUAAGUAACACAUGCACACAUGCAUCCUGUGGGGAUCAGCUGCACCGUCAUGUACACGGCCACGGUAUCACCUCACCUGUGCAAACUGCCCGAUCGCCUCGCCCCCGGCAAUGUUGCCCUCAACGCUGUUCUCGAGAGCCGAUUUGAGGCCCGUAACGGAAAUGAACUUGAGCACCAGGGUAUUGCCGUACGGCAGGGCGGCCGCGAUUUGACCUACGGUGUUGGUUUUGUUCGUUGGAAAUAGAUUGAUUAAAUUCAAGGCCUGGUUAAACUUCACUGCGACAUGGACAGGUUGUAGCGCCAUGAUCACCAACAUCGUGUACACUGUUCCACGCCAUGCAUGGCCGUGUGCAACCGUGUACAGCCAUGUGCAGCCAUGUACGACAACCUACGUAUUUAUAUAAAUAAUGUUAGUCCGAAUAAUGGUUAGAUGUCAUUGCAGUAGCAAUCCAGCUCCUGGACAUACGGCCAUGGGCGUUAUGCAUGGUUUCCUUCAUCCCUUAGUUUCUGACCGCAUCAGUAUUUUACCAGCAGCCAGGUAUCCUGUGCUGCAAUAAUUAGCAUUAACAAUACCCUUUGCAAGUCUGUCUACAAUGAUAAUCCUACCUAUCAGCACUCAUGGCCGUACAUGCAAUGCCGUACACUGAAUGCGUACCUGAGGUCACAGGUCCCGCAGGAAGAUUCGCGCGGAUCGAACCGGAGUUCACCAUGCAGAAAUCCGGCGUUGUUUGGAAAUAGCGCUGUCGAUAACGACAGGAACAAGCACGGAUAAUGGGUUGUUGGGGAAUCGUAAUUGAUGGGUAUUAUAAUCAAGGAACUGCUAAGGUCCGUCCCGACAAGGUCGGACAGGGCGGCAAACGCACGCGCCGGCACCGAACAAAGAGGUGUUUGGUACACGCGAGCACCGCAACAACGUACGGCAAAACAAGGCAUCCAUUACUUAAACGCGCAUGUUCUGAAUCUGAACCUUGCUAUUAGGCGCAGCCCACCAGACCGUCUUCAUACUUCAGGAUGGAUGGCAGUAGCGCAAUGGACGUCGGUGUGAUCAUAUUAGCGCGUACGAUGGGGAGAGUACGUGAAGGGAUGUUGGUUCCGUUCGUAUCCCCCAGCUCCCCGUCCUCACCCUGCGGGCCCCUCCCUCCCUCCCAACGCACCUCUGCAUACCACAUCAUGGCGUCACAGACGAAGUCACCGAUGGGGGCCUGGCCCAGGCGAACAGUGGCCUUGUCGGAAACCAGGGUGUGCGACAGAGUGCCCAGUGCGCAGGAGGCGGUGGAGACGGGCUCCGCGGAGCAGAUGUCGCUGCUGCCGCCCAGGUCGCAGCGGUUGAUGCGGCCCUCGGCAGCAGCGUAGCCGGUGACCUGCAGGGACAGGAAGGAAGAGCCGUGAGGGCCAUCGGGCAUGAGGAAGGCACGUGAACGAGGGAAAUCAAUGUGGACGAAGUAACGGAGCUUUUGAGAAACGCUUCUUUGACGGCGCGCAUGUGCCGCCCUGUCCGACCUUGUCCGUCAAUUUCAAAUUAUGACGGAGUUAUGGUGACUGAUGAUGAGCAGCGGUCGGUGUUUGCUAUAGCGCUGCAUUGCCAAAGCUACGAACAGGCCUAGGCCAAGGCCCCAGUCGUUGUAA